GAAACACACUGGUCCUCUCUUUCUCUCUCACUCUCUGUGAACUCUCACGCCAUUAAUCCGAAGAAGAUAUCUUCCGCCAUUGAGAUUCUCCCCACCUUGAAUCCAGGUUAUUAUGGAAGCAAUGGGGUAGAUGAAAAUGGACUUCCCAUGUCUAAAAAUUCAACUAAACUUGGCCACCUGAAGGGCUCUUUGGUUCGUACUCAUAUCCCUAUCUCCUACAAAACCUGGAAGGAUGUGCCAGAUACUUACAAAGAGGAUGUCUGGAAUGAACUACAGAUACCAUUUCUACUGCCCAAUACUUUCAAGGAAACUGUGGUGAAGGGGAUGUCUGAUCCAUGGAGGUGACAUAAGUGGGAGUUACGAACAACAUAUUAUGAUCCAUAUACUACUUAUGAAGAAAGGAUCUUGCAUACUCCUCCAAAUGUAAAAGAUGAGGACUGGGAAACAUUCGGUCGCAACGAGGAGGAUGAAGAAGUACACAAAACUAGAGUAGAUAAUAAUAGGAAAAAGAAAAGAUAUGAUUACAUUUAUACCACCGGUCGAAAACCUCAUAGUUUGGUGAGAGCUGAACUGGAGAUGGAGAAUCCAUGAGUAGAAAUGUUGUGAAGAUAUCUCAGCCAUCAUCUUUCGCGUAUAUCAACGAUAAACACAUAUGGCUUUUACUUUUAUGCUAAUGUUCACAUGGCUUUUUACUUUUUCUUGCUAAUUUUCACACUUUUGCAAAAGUCCAGUUGCCCUUGUGCAUAAGAAGCAUAUGAUGUAAUGUAUAUGUGGUUGACUAGUAUUUUACUUUAACUGAAAAGACUUGGCAUGUAAUAUAUAUCUAUGUGAACCUUAACCAUUCUCGUAUGAAUGGAUUUUACUUGUUGCAUUUAUGUGGUUCCUGUAUACGUAUAUGUUUGUAGUUUCGCAGGAGUAUAAGGUCAACUGAAGCUAGUAGCCACCCGAGGGAAUAUCAAUCCCUGGUAAGUUCAUUUGAUUAUGACUGGAUUCAGUUUGCUGAAAUUUUCUAAUAUUAACCUUCUGUUGACACUUUCUUGCGAGGUAUUACACUUAAUGAUCAGCGAGCUGCGGGAUUAUGCCGUUUGCGACCUUUCAAUGGCUCUGAUUCUCACGGAGAGGCUUUAUGUGGUAACUGCUCAGUUUGACCAGUUAAGAGCCAUAUGAUUUCAAAAAGAUGUUAAUAGAGCCACGCCGAGAAGAAAAACGCAAAAGGUGUCCAUUUCACACUCAACGGAUGCAUCUAGAUCUGUACGUGCAGAAGAGCAAGAGACAACACCUUCUUGUGUGAAUGUCCUUAACUGAUUCAUGUAUAUUUGUAUACAUGACUUGCUAAGGCAUCAGCCUUGGGAUGCUGAUCAUGUCCGCAGGGGUUGAUGGGUUCUUUCGGGCUCAUUGAAAUUAUCAACACUUGCAUUCCCUCUUUAAUCAAUUUUUUGUUUUCAUGUUUUGCUUAUACGUUGUCUUGGCAUUUACUUUGUAUAUUACUUUAUUUGAUAUUUUUGUAUUUUUCUUACUUAAGUACUAACACUUGCAUUUCCUUUGUUAUCUGAAUUAGUUCAACUCUCUUUUUAUGCAGGUUCUGCAAGAUUCUUACAUUUAUGGAGGUACUGCUGCUUACAACCAAGGCGAAGUAUGAACCACUUUGAGAAUGAAGUACUAGCACAAGGGUUUUGUUAGUCAAGGGUUCAGGAUGGCUAGUAAAUGUGCACUGAAUUCUUAAAUUGUGUUUGCAAAAGAGGAAGAAGAAAAUAAUUCAUCGAAUUCUUGUGGCAGGAGUUCUUACUCUUGCAUUCUCAAGGUUUCUUGCGCUGCUAGCACAUUUGAGGAGGUUGAUGAAGUUCUACAGCUUGAUAUGGCAAGGGAUGAGAGCUAGAACAAGGAAACAUAAGUAUUCAUUUUUAACAUCUUCUCUCCAGAGUGAUCUAGUUCAUUCACAUGGUGAUGAUUUGCACCACUCAUUUGGGUUGCUGGUUAUGGACAAUAUCCUGCUUAUUAAUGAUUUCCACCACUAAUAACAAUUGGGGUUCAGUAGGAUCAUGCUUGCAGAUGUGUGGCCAUAGAUGGGCAGGUACUUCAUGUAUUUGUCUUUCAUCCUUCAUUUUUCCAUUGUAGACAAAAUGUUAGACUUCCUUAUUGGUUGAAACAUUAUGUAACUUUCUGUUGGUAUAAUAUGGAGUGUAUAGACAUUAUCCAAAUGACAAUUGUUGUUGUCUAGUGAUUCUUGUAAUGUUUUUCUUUGUUGUAA
Papaver somniferum (opium poppy) is the source of this 2248-nucleotide long non-coding RNA. RefSeq lists it as uncharacterized. Lineage: Eukaryota; Viridiplantae; Streptophyta; Magnoliopsida; Ranunculales; Papaveraceae. The transcript has 9 exons. The record is from RefSeq and is a predicted model, not a curated record.